GCCGAACAUCUCAUCCACAAUGGAGCCAAUGUUGAUACUGAAACUGAUAGGAAAUGGACACCUCUUCAUGCAGCUGCACUCAAUGGUCAAAAGAGUAUCGCCGAACUUCUCAUCCGUGCACGAGCCAAUGUUAAUAGUAAAACUGAUGUGAAAAACACACCUCUUCAUUUAGCUGCUGAGAAUGGUCAUAAGAGUGUCGCUGAAUUUCUCAUCCGUGCAGGAGCAAAUGUUGAUAGUGAAAAUUAUGUGAAAAAGACACCUCUUCAUUUAGCUGCUCAGAAUGGUCAUGAGAGUAUCGCUGAACUUCUCAUCCGUGAAGGAGCAAAAUAACUUGAUAAAAAUAAUUCGAAUCAGACUCCUUAUCACUUGGCUAUUAACAAUGGUCACAAAGAGAUCGCGAAACUUUUUGUCCAAAAUUUAGGUGAUUGGCUACUAGAAUAGAUUCAAUUGGCUAUUAACAAUGGUGACGAAUAGCUGAACCAAUUUUGCUGAAUAAUCGGAUGAUUUCCUCCGGUUCACCUUUUUGAUUGUAGUUUAGAAUUAAUUUCAAAACAUUUUUUUUGUCAAUCUAUGGCCAAUUGGCCAUACCAACCAAUAUUGUUGCUUUGUUGGACCAUCGAUUAUUAUUCUGUCAAAAAACAGCUCAAGUUAUUUGUCUUUUUAAUUGCUUACAUUGCAUUUUUGUGACCCUAACGUACAUCCGUGCUAAAUUUGAACGCGAUUUGUAUGAGUCUAAUGCCGUAGGCAAAGUCCAAGAAUGAAAAUAAAUUAUACAUAUAGUGUAUAAAUUUGGAUAAACUCAAUUGUUGGUCUUGUCAAACUGUACAACUUUGCAAAAGACAAUGAUCAUGGUUAAACUCAAUUUUUAUGUUUGCUUUUAAUUUCUUUGUUUUGAUUUUGUGAAAGUUAAUGUUAAGUUUAAGUUCAAUUAGAUGUUCAAAAUCAAUUAUAUUAUGUUCUCUAUAUAAGUCCUUUGUUCUAAUAACUCCCGAUCGAUAUUUUUUAUAGAAAAGGUUUCUUAUGCAUUUAUUUUGCAAAGUUUUAAUUUUAUGUUAUCAUUACCCGUACCACUCCAGAUAGUUAAAAGGUAUAUAAUGUGUGAGUGAAAGAAAGAGAAGUACAGUAAUUUCUUAACACGGUCAUUGCACAUGUAUGCGAUUCUUCUGAAUACACCAAUAUAGGGUUUGACUCUUUUUUAAACAUGAUCAACAUGCGAGUUCCAAGUCAGAUUUGCAUCAAUAAACAGCCCAAGAUAUUUCAUUUCAUUUACUUCUUCGACUUUUGAGUUGUUCAAGUAAAUAUCCCCCAAGUUAUUUGCUGCUGAUCUCAUUGAAUUGAAAAAUAAAAGUUUGGUUUUUCCACCAU
Molecule: long non-coding RNA, 1365 nt
Organism: Sitodiplosis mosellana (orange wheat blossom midge)
Lineage: Eukaryota; Metazoa; Arthropoda; Insecta; Diptera; Cecidomyiidae
Exons: 6
Source: RefSeq, a predicted model, not a curated record